CAUGGGGUGAAAGUUGACAUGGCAAGGCAGAUGGAUGUGGGAAGAGAGAGGAAGUUGGAACAGGAUAAGGAGAGAGGCGUGAGUGUGUGAGACGGCUCAGGGCAGUUAAGAUUCUACUCUCGGCCCAGGGCACAAACUCUGACACUGCCAGGCACAAAAACUGCUGGGACAUUGAAGGCCAGGGAGACAGUGCCCACUCAGGGGGCAGCGGACAGACUCUUACCCAACAGCAUGGCCCCCUCAGAGCUGGCAAAACCCCAAGAAGGGGCAGGAAGGCCCCGUCCCAGAGGCUGCCAUUCUACUAGCAUAGCCGUGGCCUGUGUGCCUGCUCAGGGCAAUGCUGAGAUCUUUAAUUUUUCUUCACAGAGAUUAAUCCCCAGAGGAAGCAGCUUGCCAGUGAAUGACAGCUUUUGUUUGCUCAUGUUUUCCUCUCCUCCCAGAGUCAACUUUCAGAAUAUACCAGGAUGUUCCCUCUCACUUGACUUUCUUUUCUUUUCUUUUCUUUUCUUUUUUUUUACUGGAGGAGAGGGGAGGCUCCACAGCAUAUUAUCCAAAGGCGAGGCAGAUGGUUCUUUGUCCAAUAGUGAGAGAGGGGAGAGAGGGGCCAUUGGUCUUCUCUUUUUGUGUUUUACGUUUUUACUUCUCAUGUUGAGAUGUUGUAACGGCACUUCAUACCUCCUCGGCCGCUGUUGUCUUCACAAUGCACAGAACAUGUUCCAUGUCAUGUCAUCUUGCUCUUCCCACACAACUCUUCUGUGGGGCAAUACUGGUUUUGGAAUUGCCAUUUUAGAAGUGAGCAAACAAGACUCAGAUCAAGUGACCCAGCUCAAGUCUCAUGGGCAGGAAGUGGACAAACCAAGGUCUGAACCAAACAGCUCCAGCCUGAAUGAGAAGCACGUCCUCCUGGGAGUUACGUCAGCAGCCUGACCUUCCAUCUUCCUCCUCUAAAGAAGCGUCCCUGCCACCCUGAGCACGAAGCCCUCGGGUUCCUAAAGGCCGAGGCGCUUCUUCUCAUUUACUUCCCUUGAGGAAGAAAGACCAGCCCAUCCACCCUCAUUUCCCACCGAAGGGCAUCGCAAAUAAAGUUUGC
This 1090-nucleotide long non-coding RNA is filed under the name Homo sapiens (human). Its description in RNAcentral is "long non-coding RNA NONHSAT215680.1". Lineage: Eukaryota; Metazoa; Chordata; Mammalia; Primates; Hominidae. The record is from RNAcentral.